UACGUAGGAUGCAAGCGUUGUCCGGAAUUAUUGGGCGUAAAGCGUACGUAGGCGGUUCGUUAAGUCAGGGGUUAAAGACUGAGGCUCAACCUCAGGAGUGCCCUUGAUACUGGCGGGCUUGAGGACGGCAGAGGAAAGUGGAAUUCCCAGUGUAGCGGUGAAAUGCGUAGAUAUUGGGAGGAACACCAGUGGCGAAAGCGACUUUCUGGGCCGUUCCUGACGCUGAGGUACGAAAGCGUGGGGAGCAAACAGG
RNAcentral lists this ribosomal RNA (253 nucleotides) under uncultured bacterium. RNAcentral describes it as "partial 16S ribosomal RNA". It matches the Rfam family "Bacterial small subunit ribosomal RNA", at positions 524 to 776 of the family's 1533-position model. The record is from RNAcentral.